Molecule: non-coding RNA, 78 nt
Organism: Pteropus alecto (black flying fox)
Lineage: Eukaryota; Metazoa; Chordata; Mammalia; Chiroptera; Pteropodidae
Source: Rfam
GUUUCUUUGGCAGUGUCUUAGCUGGUUGUUGUGAGCAAUGGUGAAGGAAGCAAUCAGCAAGUAUACUGCCCUAGAAGU